GAAGCCCUGAACGCCUCCCAAAUCGUGGAUAAGCUGCAGCUAGCUGUAUUCAGUUCGUUCCAUCCCUGCCGCCACCUACUGCAUUCAUGUUCACCACAUGCUUGAUAAAAUGCUUGCAAUGAUUAUAUUACAUGUUGUCUUGAUAAUUUUUGCCAUCGGACAGGAUUUUGUAACUAAAUGCAUGCAGAUUUUUGGAGUAACAAGGCAGUAGCUAAAAAACAGCCAGGGCUCAGGUGGGUAUGAUCAUGGGUAAGAAGCCUUUAGUUAUGAAACGAACUAGCUGAAAGAUUUAGCUCAAAAAAUAAGAAAAAUUACACACCGUUAUUUGCAUUCUAUAUUUGUGGAACAUGUCUUUAUUGUUCUACUGAGGAUGUAAGUGCAAUCAGAGGUGAAGAAGUAAUCCUUCUUCUUUUUAAAAAGAAAGUGUAGAGUAUUAUUUAGAGCAGUACAUCAUAUCCUAAUUUACCAAUCAUUUAUUUCUUUUCUUUCUAGCAAUCGUAUUGGAUCAUAUUGUGCAACAAUAUAUCCCCUUCUGAUUAUUUAAUGGUUUCUUAUUUCCUUUGCAGGUGUACAAACUGAACCAGGGAUUUGGUAUUUUUCAUCCAGAAACUGAAUUUCAAAAUAUUUUAUUAAGGAUAUGUUUGGCCAGAAUAAUAAAACAAUGUGUCUGAACAACUGAAUCUCUAGCUCUUCUGAAAGAUUGCUGCUGCUCAGAAUGGUAUGUAUAUCUCCACAAUUGGAAUUGCUAACAGACUUCAAAAGAGGAAACGUGCUACUGCUUUCUCAUCAUGUAUCCUUUCAGACCUUGUGCAUCCUGAAUGCAAGUAAUCAUAUUGGAAAAGGUGAAGCUGUAGGUUACUACAUCUUCCCAGUGCUGAGAUGUGCCUUCUACUGUGGUUGUCUUGAAGUAGGGGGCGCGAGAGAUCUAAUGAAGAGAGAGGAACUUCCAUACGUGUUCGCGCUCAUCAUGAUCAAGACUUGGAAGCUUGCAUCAAUGGCACGAUGUAAUAUACAUUCAACAUUCACUGUUUUGCCAUGUUUUAUUGUUUAGCAUUUUAAUAGUUCUUUAUUUCAAUUGUUGAUCUGUUGCCUCAAGAUAUAAGGGUUGUAAUAUUUUUAUUAACAAUGAAUUAUGUGAACUGCUAUUGAAAGAUUGAUUAUAGCCAGCCCAUAUUUUCGGUU
Long non-coding RNA from Panicum virgatum (switchgrass), 1182 nucleotides. RefSeq lists it as uncharacterized. Lineage: Eukaryota; Viridiplantae; Streptophyta; Magnoliopsida; Poales; Poaceae. The record is from RefSeq and is a predicted model, not a curated record. The transcript is spliced from 3 exons.